GAAGCCCUGUCUGUCAGUAGACAUCACUGCCACCACCACCUGCAUAUGAGUCAACACCACACAGGAAACCAGCCGGUCACCCAGAGCUGGAUGGGUGUAUUCUAACGCAAGCUCGGCCUGCCACUUCAUCUUGGGACCCAGUUGAAGCAACUUUUCCUGACAAGCCCGGAGGUUCGACCGGAGGUACUGCCAUGCGUCGC
This is a long non-coding RNA of Perca fluviatilis (European perch), 200 nucleotides long. RefSeq lists it as uncharacterized. Lineage: Eukaryota; Metazoa; Chordata; Actinopteri; Perciformes; Percidae. The record is from RefSeq and is a predicted model, not a curated record. The transcript is spliced from 4 exons.